UACGAAGGGGGCUAGCGUUGCUCGGAAUCACUGGGCGUAAAGGGUGCGUAGGCGGGUCUUUAAGUCGGGGGUGAAAUCCUGGAGCUCAACUCCAGAACUGCCUUCGAUACUGGCGAUCUUGAGUCUGGGAGAGGUGAGUGGAACUCCGAGUGUAGAGGUGAAAUUCGUAGAUAUUCGGAAGAACACCAGUGGCGAAGGCGGCUCACUGGCCCGGCACUGACGCUGAGGUGCGAAAGCGUGGGGAGCAAACAGG
This 253-nucleotide ribosomal RNA is filed under the name uncultured bacterium. RNAcentral's name for it is "partial 16S ribosomal RNA". It matches the Rfam family "Bacterial small subunit ribosomal RNA", at positions 524 to 776 of the family's 1533-position model. The record is from RNAcentral.